This 484-nucleotide ribosomal RNA is filed under the name uncultured bacterium. Its description in RNAcentral is "partial 16S ribosomal RNA". It matches the Rfam family "Bacterial small subunit ribosomal RNA", at positions 30 to 506 of the family's 1533-position model. The record is from RNAcentral.
AUUGAACGCUGGCGGCAGGCUUAACACAUGCAAGUCGAGCGGGGGAAGGUAGCUUGCUACCGGACCUAGCGGCGGACGGGUGAGUAAUGCUUAGGAAUCUGCCUAUUAGUGGGGGACAACAUCUCGAAAGGGAUGCUAAUACCGCAUACGUCCUACGGGAGAAAGCAGGGGAUCUUCGGACCUUGCGCUAAUAGAUGAGCCUAAGUCGGAUUAGCUAGUUGGUGGGGUAAAGGCCUACCAAGGCGACGAUCUGUAGCGGGUCUGAGAGGAUGAUCCGCCACACUGGGACUGAGACACGGCCCAGACUCCUACGGGAGGCAGCAGUGGGGAAUAUUGGACAAUGGGGGGAACCCUGAUCCAGCCAUGCCGCGUGUGUGAAGAAGGCCUUAUGGUUGUAAAGCACUUUAAGCGAGGAGGAGGCUACUUUAGUUAAUACCUAGAGAUAGUGGACGUUACUCGCAGAAUAAGCACCGGCUAACUCUGU